GGGCCUGUAGCUCAGUUGGUUAGAGCACUCGACUCAUAAUCGAAUGGUCGUAGGUUCAAGUCCUACCAGGCCCA
This is a transfer RNA of 74 nucleotides. It matches the Rfam family "tRNA". From Rfam's summary of the family: Transfer RNA (tRNA) molecules are approximately 80 nucleotides in length. The record is from Rfam.